GACAGCGGGGAUAACACGUUGAAACGUCGAAUGCACCCAGUUCCCCAUGGAUCACUGAAGUUAAGCAACGUUGCGCGUGGUUGGUAUGGGUGAUCAUCUGGAUAAUCGCGUCCUGUUGGCU
This 121-nucleotide ribosomal RNA is filed under the name Diaphorina citri (Asian citrus psyllid). Lineage: Eukaryota; Metazoa; Arthropoda; Insecta; Hemiptera; Psyllidae. The record is from RNAcentral.